Molecule: ribosomal RNA, 480 nt
Filed under: uncultured bacterium
Lineage: Bacteria
Description: partial 16S ribosomal RNA
Rfam family: Bacterial small subunit ribosomal RNA
Source: RNAcentral
GAUGAACGCUAGCGGCAGGCCUAAUACAUGCAAGUCGAGGGGUAUGGGUUGCUUGCAACCCAGAGACCGGCGCACGGGUGCGUAACGCGUAUGCAAUCUACCUUAAUCAGGGGGAUAGCCCGGAGAAAUCCGGAUUAACACCGCAUAACAUUGAGUUGUGGCAUCACAGUUCAAUCAAAUAUUUAUAGGAUUAAGAUGAGCAUGCGUGACAUUAGUUAGUUGGUGAGGUAACGGCUCACCAAGACCACGAUGUCUAGGGGAUCUGAGAGGAUGACCCCCCACACUGGUACUGAGACACGGACCAGACUCCUACGGGAGGCAGCAGUAAGGAAUAUUGGUCAAUGGGCGCAAGCCUGAACCAGCCAUGCCGCGUGCAGGAAGACGGCCCUAUGGGUUGUAAACUGCUUUUGUACCGGAAUAAACCUUCUCUUGCGAGAGAAGCUGAACGUACGGUAAGAAUAAGGAGCGGCUAACUCCGUG